UACGUAGGGGGCAAGCGUUGUCCGGAUUUAUUGGGCGUAAAGAGCUCGUAGGUGGUUCGGUAAGUCGGGUGUUAAACCCCCAGGCUCAACCUGGGGACGCCACUCGAUACUGCUGUGACUAGAGUCCGGUAGGGGAGCGUGGAAUUCCUGGUGUAGCGGUGAAAUGCGCAGAUAUCAGGAGGAACACCAGCGGCGAAGGCGGCGCUCUGGGCCGGUACUGACACUGAGGAGCGAAAGCGUGUGUAGCAAACAGG
This 254-nucleotide ribosomal RNA is filed under the name uncultured bacterium. Its description in RNAcentral is "partial 16S ribosomal RNA". It matches the Rfam family "Bacterial small subunit ribosomal RNA", at positions 524 to 776 of the family's 1533-position model. The record is from RNAcentral.